Molecule: long non-coding RNA, 269 nt
Filed under: Penaeus japonicus
Lineage: Eukaryota; Metazoa; Arthropoda; Malacostraca; Decapoda; Penaeidae
Description: uncharacterized LOC122265117
Source: RNAcentral
CGGAGGUGGAGGUGGAAUCGGCGGUGGUCACGGAGGUGGAAUCGGAGUUGGUCACGGAGGUGGAAUUGGCGGCGGGCACGGCGGCGGCUUUGCUGGUGGAUUCUCGAAUGGUGGAGGUGGGGUAGUGACGUCCCACGGCGGGGGCGGUGGAGGAUACCACAAGUAGAGGAUCGAGCCCUGUUUCUUUCUUUCGUUCUUCUUUUUUUUCUUCAUUCCUUCUUUUGUUUUGUAUGUCUUGUUCCAAAUUUUUAAAUAAAACGUUAAUAUGA